UUAAGUUCAGCGGGUAUCCCUACCUGAUCCGAGGUCAAGAGUGUAAAAUGUACUUUUGGACGCUGUCGUUAUGAGUGCAAAGCGCGAGAUGUACUGCGCUCCGAAAUCAAUACGCCGGCUGCCAAUUAUUUUAAGGCGAGUCUACACGCAAAGGCGAGACAAACACCCAACACCAAGCAAAGCUUGAAGGUACAAAUGAC
RNAcentral lists this unclassified non-coding RNA (200 nucleotides) under Ascochyta sp. Its description in RNAcentral is "partial internal transcribed spacer 2". Lineage: Eukaryota; Fungi; Ascomycota; Dothideomycetes; Pleosporales; Didymellaceae. The record is from RNAcentral.